GAUGAACGCUGGCGGCGUGCCUAAUACAUGCAAGUCGAGCGAACAGAUGAGGAGCUUGCUCCUCUGACGUUAGCGGCGGACGGGUGAGUAACACGUGGAUAACCUACCUAUAAGACUGGGAUAACUUCGGGAAACCGGAGCUAAUACCGGAUAAUAUAUUGAACCGCAUGGUUCAAUAGUGAAAGACGGUUUUGCUGUCACUUAUAGAUGGAUCCGCGCCGCAUUAGCUAGUUGGUAAGGUAACGGCUUACCAAGGCAACGAUGCGUAGCCGACCUGCGAGGGUGUUCGGCCAAACUGAACCUGAAACCGGGCCCGGACUCCAAGGGAAGGCAGCGGUGGGGAACUUUCGGAAUGGGCCGAAGGCUGGACGGAGCAAGGCGGGUGGAGUGUUGAAGGUCUUCGAUCCGAAAACCUUGUUUAUUGGGAAAGAAAAAAUUUGAAGGUAACUAUCCCGGUCUUGACGGUCCUAAUCAAGAAAGCAACGCCUAACUAGGU
Molecule: ribosomal RNA, 496 nt
Filed under: uncultured bacterium
Lineage: Bacteria
Description: partial 16S ribosomal RNA
Rfam family: Bacterial small subunit ribosomal RNA
Source: RNAcentral